RNAcentral lists this long non-coding RNA (337 nucleotides) under Trifolium pratense (red clover). RNAcentral describes it as "long non-coding RNA (TPRA_LNC003267)". Lineage: Eukaryota; Viridiplantae; Streptophyta; Magnoliopsida; Fabales; Fabaceae. The record is from RNAcentral.
UUUGAUUUUAAUAAAAACAGGUUGAUGUUUUUGUGAUCCAUUUGAUGAUGCUUAAGCCCGAUAAUUGUGAUCAGUAAUAAUGGGCUUGAACACUAAUUCUGAUUUGUGUAGAAACAAAGUGUAGGCCCAACUCUAGAGUCCAUGAUGGGUGGUACUAGGGUUGUGAUCUUAUAUAAGAUUGGCUAGGUCCCCUUUGCCGUCACGCACAAACAUAGUAAGCUCAUUUGUUGUCUUACCCAUCAAAGACCUCAAAGACUGGAGCAUGUGAUCAGGCAGAGGAAGACCUUGUCUAAUAUAUCGAUGUUUUCGAUAUUGGUGCGCUUUCGGUAACUGGUUU